This 292-nucleotide ribosomal RNA is filed under the name uncultured bacterium. RNAcentral's name for it is "partial 16S ribosomal RNA". The record is from RNAcentral.
GGACUACCGGGGUUUCUAAUCCUGUUUGCUCCCCACGCUUUCGCGCCUCAGCGUCAGUAUCGGUCCAGAGAGCCGCCUUCGCCACCGGUGUUCUUCCCAAUAUCUACGAAUUUCACCUCUACACUGGGAAUUCCACUCUCCUCUCCCGAACUCAAGCAACACAGUCCCAAGCGCAAUUCCCAGGUUGAGCCCGGGGCUUUCACGCCUGACUUAUGCCGCCGCCUACGCGCCCUUUACGCCCAGUAAAUCCGAACAACGCUCGCCCCCUUCGUAUUACCGCGGCGGCUGGCAC